CAAGCGACUGUUUACCAAAAACAUAGGUUUCUGCUAAGUCGCAAGACGAUGUAUAGGAGCUGACGCCUGCCCGGUGCUGGAAGGUUAAGGGGAUCUGUUAGAGCAAUCGAAGCAGUGAACUUAAGCCCCAGUAAACGGCGGCCGUAACUAUAACGGUCCUAAGGUAGCGAAAUUCCUUGUCGGGUAAGUUCCGACCCGCACGAAAGGCGUAACGAUUUGGGCACUGUCUCAACAACAGACUCGGUGAAAUUGUAAUUCCGGUGAAGAUGCCGGAUACCUGCGACAGGACGGAAAGACCCCAUGGAGCUUUACUGUAGCUUGACAUUGGGUCUUGGUACUACAUGUACAGGAUAGGUGGGAGGCUUUGAAACCAGGACGCCAGUUUUGGCGGAGCCAUCCUUGGGAUACCACCCUUGUAGUACUGGGACUCUAACCAUAGGCCAUGAAUCUGGUCUUGGGACACUGUCAGGUGGGCAGUUUGACUGGGGCGGUCGCCUCCCAAAAGGUAACGGAGGCGCUCAAAGGUUCUCUCAGUACGGUCGGAAAUCGUACGUAGAGUGUAAAGGCAAAAGAGAGCUUGAUUGCAAGACAUACAGGUCGAGCAAGGAUGAAAAUCGGACUUAGUGAUCCGGUGGUUCUGCGUGGAAGGGCCAUCGCUCAACGGAUAAAAGCUACCCUGGGGAUAACAGGCUUAUCUCCCCCAAGAGUCCACAUCGACGGGGAGGUUUGGCACCUCGAUGUCGGCUCAUCACAUCCUGGGGCUGUAGUAGGUCCCAAGGGUUGGGCUGUUCGCCCAUUAAAGUGGUACGCGAGCUGGGUUCAGAACGUCGUGAGACAGUUCGGUCCCUAUCCGUCGCA
Molecule: ribosomal RNA, 858 nt
Filed under: Clostridioides difficile
Lineage: Bacteria; Bacillati; Bacillota; Clostridia; Peptostreptococcales; Peptostreptococcaceae
Description: partial 23S ribosomal RNA
Rfam family: Bacterial large subunit ribosomal RNA
Source: RNAcentral